GGGUUCGAACGAGCCCAACCUCCCACCCGUGUUUACUGUUACCGCGUUGCCUCGGCGGGCCCACUGGGGCCUGGCCCCGGUCGCCGGGGGGCUUCUGCCCCCGGGCCCGCGCCCGCCGAAGCACCCUAGAACCCUGCCUGAACAGUGAGUCUGAGUGAGAUUUUAAAUCAUUAAAACUUUCAACAACGGAUCUCUUGGUUCCGGCAUCGAUGAAGAACGCAGCGAAAUGCGAUAAGUAAUGUGAAUUGCAGAAUUCCGUGAAUCAUCGAAUCUUUGAACGCACAUUGCGCCCCCUGGCAUUCCGGGGGGCAUGCCUGUCCGAGCGUCAUUUCUGCCCUCCAGCACGGCUGGGUGUUGGGCGCUGUCCCCCCGGGGACACGCCCCAAAAGCAGUGGCGGCGCCGCGUCGGGUCCUCGAGCGUAUGGGGCUCUGUCACCCGCUCGGGAGGGACUCGGUCGGCGCCGGUCUUCCCUUUAGGCCGCCCUUCGGGGUGCGCCUCUUCCGGUUGACCUCGGAUCAGGUAGGGCUACCCGCUGAACUUAAGCAUAUCAAUA
This 554-nucleotide ribosomal RNA is filed under the name Talaromyces radicus. Its description in RNAcentral is "eukaryotic LSU rRNA". The stretch from base 175 to 328 matches the Rfam family "5.8S ribosomal RNA". Lineage: Eukaryota; Fungi; Ascomycota; Eurotiomycetes; Eurotiales; Trichocomaceae. The record is from RNAcentral.